This 27-nucleotide transfer RNA is filed under the name Cucumis zambianus. RNAcentral describes it as "partial tRNA-Phe". Lineage: Eukaryota; Viridiplantae; Streptophyta; Magnoliopsida; Cucurbitales; Cucurbitaceae. The record is from RNAcentral.
GGCCGGGAUAGCUCAGUUGGUAGAGCA